This 77-nucleotide transfer RNA is filed under the name Opitutaceae bacterium. Its description in RNAcentral is "tRNA-Glu". It matches the Rfam family "tRNA". From Rfam's summary of the family: Transfer RNA (tRNA) molecules are approximately 80 nucleotides in length. Lineage: Bacteria; Pseudomonadati; Verrucomicrobiota; Opitutia; Opitutales; Opitutaceae. The record is from RNAcentral.
CGCCUCGUCGUCUAGCAGCCGAGGACGCCGGGCUUUCAAUCCGGACAACGCCGGUGCGAAUCCGGCCGGGGCGACCA